Molecule: long non-coding RNA, 584 nt
Organism: Danio aesculapii
Lineage: Eukaryota; Metazoa; Chordata; Actinopteri; Cypriniformes; Danionidae
Exons: 3
Source: RefSeq, a predicted model, not a curated record
CAGAAUGAAUGUAUGCUCAGCAUCAGAAAACAUGCCUUUCUCCAAACCUCGUAUGCCAUCACCAAAGAGUGAGCAAAGACCAAUCUCAGGCCAUGAUUAUGAGGCUGAAUACACCAAUGUCGAUGAUCUUGGCAUGUAUGGAAACGUCUUAUAAUAAUGCAAAAAAGAGGAUUCAACACAUUUUUUUUAAAACUCAAUACACAUACAUCCGAGAAGAUGCACUGUUCGAGUUGAGAUGUACUUUUCAGUAAGUCAAGAUGCUUAAUACUCACAUUGAUUUUGUUAACACUGUUUUUUCUGUACGGUGCACCUGCUUCGAAUGUUAUCACUCGAUUGAAUGUGUGUUAUCAGUGGUUAUCAACUGAAAGAUAUAGGCCAGGUAGGCUCAGAAGGCUGUUAUCAUCCAUCCACAUGGUUAAUCAGCUACUGUAUACUAAUAGAGAAGACUCCAGAUGUGUUUUGUAUUAAUGUGAUGGUUGGGUUUAGGGUUGGGGUAGAUGUUAAUAAAAUACAAUUAAUACGAAAUUUAAUAAAUAAUACAAAUAAUUCUCGUGGUUAAUCAGCUAUACUAAUAGAGAAGACUC